AUAGAAAGUCACUUAAUAUGGGACGGAGGGAGUAGUUGUCUUCCUAAUCAACAGGUAGGUUGAGUAUUUUAUUUUAUUUUGACAGCAGGUAGGAUGGGUCUUUUUUUUUUCUUAAGGUUUAGGUCAGCAGGUAGGAUGAGUCAAAUUUACUUGCUACAUUCCUAAAUUCUUGUCAUCAAUUCGUUUCUCGUUGCGGCCCAAAAUCAAACUGCAGUAGUCAGAAGUCAGAACGCCAUUUUUUUUCGGGACAAGGCCAUCCAGUGGACAUUACAGAGUGAGC
RNAcentral lists this long non-coding RNA (280 nucleotides) under Brachypodium distachyon (stiff brome). RNAcentral's name for it is "long non-coding RNA (BDIS_LNC005393)". Lineage: Eukaryota; Viridiplantae; Streptophyta; Magnoliopsida; Poales; Poaceae. The record is from RNAcentral.